GGACCAAGGAGUCUAGCAUGUGCGCGAGUCAUUGGGACUCUAACGAAACCUAAAGGCGUAAUGAAAGUGAAGGCUCGCCUAGCGCGGGCCGAGGGAGGAUGGGUGUCCCUUCGGGGACGCCUCGCACUCCCAGGGCGUCUCGUUCUCAUCGCGAGAAGAGGCGCACCAAGAGCGUACACGCUGGGACCCGAAAGAUGGUGAACUAUGCCUGGUCAGGACGAAGUCAGGGGAAACCCUGAUGGAGGUCCGUAGCGAUUCUGACGUGCAAAUCGAUCGUCGGAACUGGGUAUAGGGGCGAAAGACUAAUCGAACCAUCUAGUAGCUGGUUCCCUCCGAAGUUUCCCUCAGGAUAGCUGGCGCUCGCUUCUCGCGAGUCUCAUUCGGUAAAGCGAAUGAUUAGAGGCAUUGGGGUCGAAACGGCCUCAACCUAUUCUCAAACUUUAAAUGGGUGAGAUCUCCGGCUUGCUUGAACUGUGAAGCCGCGAGAUAUCGGAUCAGAGUGCCAAGUGGGCCACUUUUGGUAAGCAGAACUGGCGCUGUGGGAUGAACCAAACGCCGAGUUAAAGCGCCUAAAUCGACGCUUAUGGGAUACCAUGAAAGGCGUUGGUAACUUAAGACAGCAGGACGGUGGCCAUGGAAGUCGGA
Molecule: ribosomal RNA, 645 nt
Filed under: Mecynorhina polyphemus
Lineage: Eukaryota; Metazoa; Arthropoda; Insecta; Coleoptera; Scarabaeidae
Description: partial large subunit ribosomal RNA
Rfam family: Eukaryotic large subunit ribosomal RNA
Source: RNAcentral